This 322-nucleotide ribosomal RNA is filed under the name uncultured eukaryote. Its description in RNAcentral is "partial 18S ribosomal RNA". It matches the Rfam family "Eukaryotic small subunit ribosomal RNA", at positions 1470 to 1796 of the family's 1831-position model. The record is from RNAcentral.
CCCUUAGAUGUUCUGGGCCGCACGCGUGCUACACUGAGUGGAUCAGCGGGUCAGGUUGCGCGAAAGUGUUUCCUAAUCUUGAAAUCCGCUCGUGAUGGGGAUUGACGGUUGCAAUUUUCCGUCAUGAACGAGGAAUACCUUGUAAGCGCGGGUCAUCAUACCGCGCUGAAUACGUCCCUGCCCUUUGUACACACCGCCCGUCGCUCCUACCGAUUGAGUGGUCCGGUGAGGCUUUGGGAUCUGAGCGGAAAGAGCGUUUCGCUGUUUCUGCUCGGAAAACUCAGUCGAACCUUAUCAUUUAGAGGAAGGAGAAGUCGUAACA